Molecule: ribosomal RNA, 884 nt
Filed under: uncultured eukaryote
Lineage: Eukaryota
Description: SSU rRNA
Rfam family: Eukaryotic small subunit ribosomal RNA
Source: RNAcentral
CAGCAGCCGCGGUAAUUCCAGCUCCAAUAGCGUAUAUUAAAGUUGUUGUGGUUAAAAAGCUCGUAGUUGGAUCUCAACAGCCUUGAAGCGGUUAACUUUGUAGUUUUACUGCUUUAUAGGCUGUGCUUUUGCUGGAGGUUUAGGGGUGCUCUUGAUCGAGUGUCUCUGGAUGCCAGCAGGUUUACUUUGAAAAAAUUAGAGUGCUCAAAGCAGGCUAAAAUGCCUGAAUAUUCGUGCAUGGAAUAAUAGAAUAGGAUGUCGAUCCUAUUUUGUUGGUUUUCGGGACUCGACAUAAUGAUAAAUAGGGACAGUCGGGGGCAUUUGUAUUCAAACGACAGAGGUGAAAUUCUUGGACCGUUUGAAGACAAACUACUGCGAAAGCAUUUGCCAAGAAUGUUUUCAUUAAUCAAGAACGAAAGUUAGAGGUUCGAAGGCGAUUAGAUACCGCCCUAGUUCUAACCAUAAACGAUGCCAGCUAGCGAUCUGCCUGCGUUUUUACUGUAGACUGGGCAGGAAGCUUCCGGGAAACCAAAGCAUUUGGGUUCCAGGGGAAGUAUGGUUGCAAAGCUGAAACUUAAAGGAAUUGACGGAAGGGCACCACCAGGAGUGGAGCCUGUGGCUUAAUUUGACUCAACACGGGAAAUCUCACCAGGCCCGGACACUGGAAGGAUUGACAGAUUGAUAGCUCUUUCUUGAUUCGGUGGGUGGUGGUGCAUGGCCGUUCUUAGUUGGUGGAGUGAUUUGUCUGGUUAAUUCCGAUAACGAACGAGACUCUGUCCUGCUAAAUAGUUUCUACUUCUCUUUUGAGUAGAAAUUUCUUCUUAGAGGGACUGGUGACUCUUAGUCACACGAGAUUGAGCAAUAACAGGUCUGUGAUGCCCAAG